This 507-nucleotide ribosomal RNA is filed under the name uncultured bacterium. RNAcentral's name for it is "bacterial SSU rRNA". It matches the Rfam family "Bacterial small subunit ribosomal RNA", at positions 8 to 526 of the family's 1533-position model. The record is from RNAcentral.
AGAGUUUGAUCAUGGCUCAGGACGAACGCUGACGGUGUGCUUUAGGCAUGCAAGUCGAACGAGAAAGCCCUUCGGGGUGAGUAGAGUGGCGAACGGGUGAGUAACACGUGGGCAACCUGCCCCUCGCAGGGGGAUAACCGGAGGAAACUCCGGCUAAUACCCCGUAAGCUUUCAGGGUCGCAUGGCUCUGUAAGGAAAGGUAGCUUCGGCCAUCCGGCGAGGGAUGGGCCCGCGGUGCAUUAGCUAGUUGGUGGGGUAAUGGCCCACCAAGGCGACGAUGCGUAGCUGGUCUGAGAGGAUGAUCAGCCACACUGGGACUGAGACACGGCCCAGACUCCUACGGGAGGCAGCAGUGGGGAAUAUUGGACAAUGGGCGCAAGCCUGAUCCAGCCAUGCCGCGUGAGUGAUGAAGGCCCUAGGGUUGUAAAGCUCUUUUGUGCGGGAAGAUAAUGACGGUACCGCAAGAAUAAGCCCCGGCUAACUUCGUGCCAGCAGCGGCGGUAAUUC